Molecule: ribosomal RNA, 279 nt
Filed under: uncultured bacterium
Lineage: Bacteria
Description: partial 16S ribosomal RNA
Rfam family: Bacterial small subunit ribosomal RNA
Source: RNAcentral
UGCCAGCAGCCGCGGUAAUACGGAGGGGGUUAGCGUUGUUCGGAAUUACUGGGCGUAAAGCGCACGUAGGCGGAUCAGAAAGUAUAGGGUGAAAUCCCAGGGCUCAACCCUGGAACUGCCUUAUAAACUCCUGGUCUUGAGUUCGAGAGAGGUGAGUGGAAUUCCGAGUGUAGAGGUGAAAUUCGUAGAUAUUCGGAGGAACACCAGUGGCGAAGGCGGCUUUCUGGACCGAUACUGACGCUGAGACGCGAAAGCGUGGGGAGCAAACAGGAUUAGAUA